RNAcentral lists this ribosomal RNA (281 nucleotides) under Aspergillus sp. BAB-1992. Its description in RNAcentral is "partial 28S ribosomal RNA". It matches the Rfam family "Eukaryotic large subunit ribosomal RNA", at positions 331 to 631 of the family's 3401-position model. The record is from RNAcentral. Lineage: Eukaryota; Fungi; Ascomycota; Eurotiomycetes; Eurotiales; Aspergillaceae.
AGACCGAUAGCGAACAAGUAGAGUGAUCGAAAGAUGAAAAGCACUUUGAAAAGAGAGUUAAAAAGCACGUGAAAUUGUUGAAAGGGAAGCGCUUGCGACCAGACUCGCCCGCGGGGUUCAGCCGGCAUUCGUGCCGGUGUACUUCCCCGCGGGCGGGCCAGCGUCGGUUUGGGCGGCCGGUCAAAGGCCCCCGGAAUGUAGCACCCUUCGGGGUGCCUUAUAGCCGGGGGUGCAAUGCGGCCAGCCUGGACCGUAGGAACGCGCUUCGCACGACGCUGCAU